Molecule: ribosomal RNA, 510 nt
Filed under: uncultured bacterium
Lineage: Bacteria
Description: partial 16S ribosomal RNA
Rfam family: Bacterial small subunit ribosomal RNA
Source: RNAcentral
GACGAACGCUGGCGGCGUGCUUAACACAUGCAAGUCGAACGAAGAGCGAUGGAAGCUUGCUUCUAUCAAUCUUAGUGGCGAACGGGUGAGUAACGCGUAAUCAACCUGCCCUUCAGAGGGGGACAACAGUUGGAAACGACUGCUAAUACCGCAUACGAUCUAAUCUCGGCAUCGAGGAUAGAUGAAAGGUGGCCUCUACAUGUAAGCUAUCACUGAAGGAGGGGAUUGCGUCUGAUUAGCUAGUUGGAGGGGUAACGGCCCACCAAGGCGAUGAUCAGUAGCCGGUCUGAGAGGAUGAACGGCCACAUUGGGACUGAGACACGGCCCAGACUCCUACGGGAGGCAGCAGUGGGGAAUCUUCCGCAAUGGACGAAAGUCUGACGGAGCAACGCCGCGUGAGUGAUGAUGGCCUUCGGGUUGUAAAGCUCUGUUAAUCGGGACGAAAGGCCUUCUUGCGAAUAGUGAGAAGGAUUGACGGUACCGGAAUAGAAAGCCACGGCUAACUACGUG